This is a ribosomal RNA of 543 nucleotides. It matches the Rfam family "Bacterial large subunit ribosomal RNA", at positions 1859 to 2599 of the family's 2925-position model.
CUGCCCUGUGACUUAAGAGUUUAACGGCCGCGGUAUCUUGACCGUGCGAAGGUAGCGCAAUCACUUGUCCUUUAAAUGGGGACCUGUAUGAAUGGCAUAACGAGGGCUCAACUGUCUCCCCCCUCCAGUCAGUGAAAUUGAUCUCCCCGUGCAGAAGCGGGGAUACUCCCAUAAGACGAGAAGACCCUAUGGAGCUUUAGACAUUUGGCAGCCUGCAACAAACAACCCGCACUAAUGGUUACGAACAAAGCACCACUCUGCUGGACUGUCUUCGGUUGGGGCGACCGUGGGAUAAAGAAAACCUCCCAUGAGGACCGGGAAAACCUUCCCAGAACUAAGGGUCACCACCCUAAGCAACAGAAACUCUGACCUAAUGAUCCAGCCUAUGGCUGAUCAGCGGACCGAGUUACCCUAGGGAUAACAGCGCAAUCCCCUCCUAGAGCCCCCAUCGACGAGAGGGUUUACGACCUCGAUGUUGGAUCAGGACAUCCUAAUGGUGCAGCCGCUAUUAAGGGUUCGUUUGUUCAACGAUUAAAGUCCUAC